This 684-nucleotide ribosomal RNA is filed under the name Pseudomonas sp. HPC1290. Its description in RNAcentral is "bacterial SSU rRNA". It matches the Rfam family "Bacterial small subunit ribosomal RNA", at positions 58 to 734 of the family's 1533-position model. Lineage: Bacteria; Pseudomonadati; Pseudomonadota; Gammaproteobacteria; Pseudomonadales; Pseudomonadaceae. The record is from RNAcentral.
CAGGGAACGGGCUAAGCCGGAACGGAGCUUGCUCCUUGAUUCAUCGGCGGACGGGUGAGUAAUGCCUAGGAAUCUGCCUGGUAGUGGGGGACAACGUUUCGAAAGGAACGCUAAUACCGCAUACGUCCUACGGGAGAAAGCAGGGGACCUUCGGGCCUUGCGCUAUCAGAUGAGCCUAGGUCGGAUUAGCUAGUUGGUGAGGUAAUGGCUCACCAAGGCGACGAUCCGUAACUGGUCUGAGAGGAUGAUCAGUCACACUGGAACUGAGACACGGUCCAGACUCCUACGGGAGGCAGCAGUGGGGAAUAUUGGACAAUGGGCGAAAGCCUGAUCCAGCCAUGCCGCGUGUGUGAAGAAGGUCUUCGGAUUGUAAAGCACUUUAAGUUGGGAGGAAGGGCAGUAAGUUAAUACCUUGCUGUUUUGACGUUACCGACAGAAUAAGCACCGGCUAACUCUGUGCCAGCAGCCGCGGUAAUACAGAGGGUGCAAGCGUUAAUCGGAAUUACUGGGCGUAAAGCGCGCGUAGGUGGUUCGUUAAGUUGGAUGUGAAAGCCCCGGGCUCAACCUGGGAACUGCAUCCAAACUGGCGAGCUAGAGUACGGUAGAGGGUGGUGGAAUUUCCUGUGUAGCCGGUGAAAUGCGUAGAUAUAGGAGGAACACCAGUGGCGAAGCGACCACCUGGAU